RNAcentral lists this ribosomal RNA (445 nucleotides) under uncultured bacterium. RNAcentral's name for it is "bacterial SSU rRNA". It matches the Rfam family "Bacterial small subunit ribosomal RNA", at positions 354 to 796 of the family's 1533-position model. The record is from RNAcentral.
GUGAGGAAUAUUGCGCAAUGGAGGCAACUCUGACGCAGCCAUGCCGCGUGCAGGAAGAAGGCGCUACGCGUUGUAAACUGCUUUUAACCGGGAAGAAACCCCAGGACGUGUCCUGGGUUGACGGUACCGGAUGAAUAAGCACCGGCUAACUUCGUGCCAGCAGCCGCGGUAAUACGAAGGGUGCAAGCGUUAUCCGGAUUCAUUGGGUUUAAAGGGUGCGUAGGCGGAGCGUUAAGUCAGUGGUGAAAUCCUGCAGCUUAACUGUAGACUUGCCAUUGAUACUGGCGCUCUUGAGUGCGCUUGAAGUGGGCGGAAUGUGCCGUGUAGCGGUGAAAUGCUUAGAUAUGGCACAGAACACCAAUUGCGAAGGCAGCUCACUAAGGCGAUACUGACGCUGAGGCACGAAAGCGUGGGGAUCGAACAGGAUUAGAUACCCCGGUAGUCC